This 579-nucleotide ribosomal RNA is filed under the name Staphylococcus sp. G3O29(A). RNAcentral describes it as "bacterial SSU rRNA". It matches the Rfam family "Bacterial small subunit ribosomal RNA", at positions 62 to 623 of the family's 1533-position model. The record is from RNAcentral. Lineage: Bacteria; Bacillati; Bacillota; Bacilli; Caryophanales; Staphylococcaceae.
UCGAGCGAACAGACGAGGAGCUUGCUCCUCUGACGUUAGCGGCGGACGGGUGAGUAACACGUGGAUAACCUACCUAUAAGACUGGGAUAACUUCGGGAAACCGGAGCUAAUACCGGAUAAUAUAUUGAACCGCAUGGUUCAAUAGUGAAAGACGGUUUUGCUGUCACUUAUAGAUGGAUCCGCGCCGCAUUAGCUAGUUGGUAAGGUAACGGCUUACCAAGGCAACGAUGCGUAGCCGACCUGAGAGGGUGAUCGGCCACACUGGAACUGAGACACGGUCCAGACUCCUACGGGAGGCAGCAGUAGGGAAUCUUCCGCAAUGGGCGAAAGCCUGACGGAGCAACGCCGCGUGAGUGAUGAAGGUCUUCGGAUCGUAAAACUCUGUUAUUAGGGAAGAACAAAUGUGUAAGUAACUAUGCACGUCUUGACGGUACCUAAUCAGAAAGCCACGGCUAACUACGUGCCAGCAGCCGCGGUAAUACGUAGGUGGCAAGCGUUAUCCGGAAUUAUUGGGCGUAAAGCGCGCGUAGGCGGUUUUUUAAGUCUGAUGUGAAAGCCCACGGCUCAACCGUGGAGGGU